RNAcentral lists this ribosomal RNA (439 nucleotides) under uncultured bacterium. RNAcentral describes it as "partial 16S ribosomal RNA". It matches the Rfam family "Bacterial small subunit ribosomal RNA", at positions 339 to 795 of the family's 1533-position model. The record is from RNAcentral.
CUACGGGGCGCAGCAGUGGGGAAUAUUGCACAAUGGAGGAAACUCUGAUGCAGCAACGCCGCGUGGAGGAUGACACUUUUCGGAGCGUAAACUCCUUUUAUAUAGGAAGAAGAUGACGGUACUAUAUGAAUAAGCGCCGGCUAACUCCGUGCCAGCAGCCGCGGUAAUACGGAGGGCGCAAGCGUUACUCGGAAUCACUGGGCGUAAAGAGCGUGUAGGCGGAUUAAAAAGUCAGAAGUGAAAUCCUAUAGCUUAACUAUAGAACUGCUUCUGAAACUCUUAAUCUAGAAUAUGGGAGAUGUAGAUGGAAUUUCUGGUGUAGGGGUAAAAUCCGUAGAGAUCAGAAGGAAUACCGAUUGCGAAGGCGAUCUACUAGAACAAUAUUGACGCUGAGACGCGAAAGCGUGGGGAGCAAACAGGAUUAGAUACCCCUGUAGUC